This is a non-coding RNA of Rattus norvegicus (Norway rat), 990 nucleotides long. Lineage: Eukaryota; Metazoa; Chordata; Mammalia; Rodentia; Muridae. The record is from RefSeq and is a predicted model, not a curated record.
UAAAUUUCUACUGGGUAAGAAACCUAUUUAAAUUAUUAAUGCCACAAACCAACAGGCAGUCAGCAGCAUGGCAAGAAUCCAAGGGCAGUUCAGGCCCAAGUAUGUCAGAGUGGGUAUCUCUUCUCAGAGGUUUCAGAGGGCAGGGUGGGGUGAGCCUCCAUGCCAAGAGCCAUGCUUGUAGGGGUGGGAGGAAGUUUACAUCCCAAGGAUGGAUGUGCGAUCAUGAGGAUAUGAAAAGGCUGGAGGAGGAGCCUGUUUAGUUAGUGUGUAUCCAUCCUGCACUGUGUCACUGGUAGCUCCUGAUAACUUUGUCUAUAAACUUGGGUCCUGUACACAGAAGCCACUCCUAGGAAGGAGAGACAUAGUCGCAUAUGGGUAUGAACUAAGCAUUUGGUCUGGGUUCUAAUAGACAGGAAUGCCUUUUCUUUUUUUUUUUUAAAGGAUUUUUUAAAUUAUUUAUUGAUUCUACUGCUACUUUUAAAAUGUUUAUUUUUAAAGAUUUUUUUUUUUACUUUUUCAUUCAUACAGUUUUUUAUUGUUAGUUUUCUGACAAGCAUUCAAGUGUCACAGAGGGAAAGAGAGAGAGUGUGUUAUAUUCCCUGCUGUAGGAGUUACAGACACGUGGGUGCUGAGAACCAAACUGGGUUCUCUGCAAUGACAACUGCCAAGCUGUUUCCCCUCGCCCUCUAAUGCUACCUUUAAUUUUGACUGUAAAUCCCACUUGAAAAUUCGAAAACACAACCAUUCUAAUACAUCAUUGACUGCGGAAAUGGCCUCAGCGCUGCAACCGGAAACAGAAACUGACCACUACAUAAACGCCAUCUAACGACCAGCUUAGAGCAAAGACAAACCCUGAAAGUAGCCCAAUCGGAAGGGGCUUGGCUUUUCCUGUUAAAAUCUGACAAAGAACAGGACGAGAGGGAGUCUCGAAGAACUGUUUUUUUUUUUUUCAGCCGGUUUGACUCUGUCGUCCCUCAAGACCACUUUUGC